UUUGAUUCUCUCAUAAGCCAUGAUGCUAAAUGUAAAGUGGUUAUUAAAUUGUUGAUAUUCCGUGAUCUAUUAUAGUCUGCACUGAGCGAAUUGUCACUGGUGUGUUAUGUAGAACAUGCUUAAUAGGAUCAAAGAAAUCAUGAUAUAUAUCUUAACUCAGACAUCCAUUUCAAUUGCAUAUCCCAUUUUGCAUAGCAGGGUUAUGAAAAUCCACAAGAAGCGACUGGGGUUAUCAUAUGUGCCAAUUUCCAUUUAGCUAAUAUGCCUAAUUUUAGGAUGACUGACCCUUUUAGUCUAGUUCAUAUAAUUUUUCUCUCAGGAGCUAGAGGAAAUGCAUAUCAGGUACAUCAAUUAUUAGGUAUGCCCACUUUUUGACUUACUGAUAAUAAUGUUAUUAUUUUGUGCUGCUUAACUAACUUGCAGUGAUUUGGCAGAUGUUCAAGAUUCCUUUUUUCCCCAUUGCCUCAAAAUUUGGUAUGAGUUCAAUUAAGUUCCUGCAAUAUACUGCUGCUUCAUUUAGUCAUUUCUUUUUUCCCAGAAAGAUUUGAAAAUACUUUGUUUUAUUCAUUAUGUUCAUUGACCAAGUUUACUUACUUCCGUGGUCUGAUUUUUUUCUUGCUCUAGAUGGUCAAUCUUUUUUUUGUUUUUUAAACAAAAGUAAAUUUAGUUCAUGCACUAGGUAGUCAAUGUUAAAGCAUGAAUGGUUUAAUGUGCAUUUCUUCAUGAUAUUCGGUGUAUUUAUCACUUGGUUAUAUUAUUUUCUGGCUUAUUUGGGUUUCAUUGAGGCGUAGUUGCUGCUAUAUUCAAAGUGGCCGAUUUUGUCAGAGAAUCAGACAGUUGAGCUGGUCUAAAAGAUGAGUUCAAAUCCUUAACAUAAAAAAAGAAAAGAAAGAAAUGAGCUAGUUCCCAUCCUGAGCUGGAAGAUGAAGUGACCCCAUUCAAAGAAAUGUGGUAGUGGUGGACAGGUGGAGUGCCUAGAAUGGAAGUUAGAACAACAUACAGGUAAAUUUUGUUCUGAAGAUGGAGUAAAAGUUGGAAAUAGAGCAGAAAAUUGCUGAUGAUUUUUCUUCCCAAGACAAACUUUACCUACCGGAAAUUAGAAAAAGGUCAGAAGAAAGUUGAUCUUUUUCCUUAUCUCCCUACCUAUAUGUCUUUUAGCUCCGAGUACUUGAAUUUUUCUUUUAAGAAAAUGUCUCUUUUUCGACCACUUGAAUUUUCUUUUAAGAACUGAACACAUGCAUAUCUUCUCUGGAAGCUGAUAUUUUUGUUUUUUAUGUAUCUGGCUGUAUUGUAAGUUUCUCUUCCUUAUUGAUUGGCUCUGUCUUUAAGAUUAUGCGGUUCAUGUGAUAUCUCUAUGUACUUGUCCUAAUACAACUUGAACUUAUUCUUGAUAGAAGUAUUGCAAAAUUAUAGGAUCUGGAUAUUUGAAGUUUUACCAAUCUGCCUGCUAAUGAUCAUCCACUAUUGCUGUUGUGUCUUCUGUGCAUUUCCAAGUUAAAGGAUUUGUUGUCAAAUUCCAUUUCGUUCUGCAAUAAUUGAUUCAAUUACUAAUCAUAGUCUUCAAUAUCUUAUGCUCCUUUUUGUAAGAGAUUUGCAGUCACCCAGUAAUUCUAGAAGAAAUUUGAUUUGGGGUAGCAUAGCUAGUGGUAGAGCUAUUCCAGCAUGCCAGGUCUUUGGUUGAUCAUGGAAAAUUUCCAUUUGAGAGCUAUUCCAGCACGCCAAUAGGUCUUUUGUUGAUCACGCCAAUAAGAAUAAUUGCCAGAGUUGGUCAGUGACUCCACAGUGCAAUAAAAGGUGACUGUUUUUCUCUGGUCCUUCCAACACAAAUAACAUCUUGAACCUAGCUUAAUCCUCCUCCUCUUCAAAUUAUCUUGGGUCAGACAGGCUUCUUUGACAACAAGCCAAACAAAACAAGCCACUGUUUAAGGAAUUUCCAGUCUUCAUGUGUUCCAAAAUCCAAGAAUUAACUUGUUCUCCUAAUACAAGUGAGUGCAUAAUAGGUAGAUUUAAUUGUAUAGUUGCCUUUGCUAUGCCCUCUGCCAUGACAAUAUGUCCUCAUGUUUAUAAAUGCAUUUUAAUUGAUCCAUUACUCUUACAAAAUUUAGCUACUCUGUUGAUUUCUCAAUCAAUUGGUAGUGUUCUAAAGCUCAGGUUUAAUCACUGUUGACCUCAUAGUUUGCUAACAGCUGUCCCCUUGUUACUGACAGGUUGAAGAUGUAUGGGGAUAAUGCUUUAGAGACCCUUCCCAUUCCUCACUUUAAGACUGGUUGGCACUGAAGGAGGGCUAAAAAGCUCUGUUUGACCUCUAUAUACUAAACCCAGAUAGUGUAGUUACCCCUAUUUUAAAAAGAGUCAACCCGGUGCAAUAAGCUGGGCUAUACGCAGGGUCUGGGGAAGGGCAGGACCAUAAGGGUCUAUUGUACGCAGCCUUACCCUGUAUUUCUGCAAGAGGUUGUUUCCACAGCUCGAACCCGUGACCUCCUGGUCACAUGACAACAACUUUAUAGGCUCCCCUUCUAAUCUGAGACAAAACUUCAGGUGAGUGGGUGUUCUCCAGUAUAGAUUACAUCCCCUUUCUGCACCUUCCUGUCCCAUAAUAUAAAAAUUCCCUGAUCUACCAUUUGCCUCUAAAAAUCUGGGCACUGUCUCAGAGGGAGGCUCGGUGAAAUAGACAUGUCUGUGAAGAUGCAGGCUACCUGCACCUGCACUGAAAGACCCUAUGAAGCUUCACUGUUCCCUGGGAUUGGCUUUGGGGAUUUCCUGCACAGCUUAGGUGGAAGGUGAACAAGGCAUCCUUCCGGGGUGGGGAUGGGGGGGAGCCAUCAGUGAGAUACCACUCUGGAAGGGCUAGAAUUCUAACCUUGUGUCAGGACCUACAGACCAAGGGACAGUCUCAGGUAGACAGUUUCUAUGGGGCUUAGUCCUCCCAAAAGGUAACGGAGGCUUGCAAAGGUUUCCUCGGGCCGUCCAAUCUUUUGAUUAAGGGGGAUGAGCCAUCUGCUAAGGAUUACCUUAAGGCUAGUAAUAAACUCACUUCCGAUGAGCAGGAAUGUGUUUGCCCACAUAUCUUUAACAAAAGGUUCGAUAUUUCCUUCUAGCUUUGUUUCCUAAAAGCAGUAGAUGUUUGCUUUCCAUUGUGAGCUAAACUUUUCUUCACCCUUCUUUUUUGUCCUGCUAUUUGGCCCCUUUCCGUUCCAUGUGAUGAUGUUCAGCUUCAUGGAUAAUCAGUGUAUGAGAAUUUCUCCUGCUCCAUGUCCCGCUGUCCUUGUUAUUAACAUUAAAUUUCAGGAUUUUAGUUCCUUCAUACUUCUGCAUUUUGGGGUCAUACAACUGACAAUGCAUACUUUGGCUUGUUUAUCUUGCUUUCUUUUGUACAGUUUCAUGAAGAGAGAUAGAUCUUACAUCUCACAGUCUCGGAAAUCCAACACAUAAUGCUUGCACAUUUCCAGUACAUUUUUAUGUACCCACAAUGAUGCUUCUAUAUCAGAAUUCUGAAUAUGAGUCAGCAAUGGGUCUACAUGCCAGAGGUCAUCCUCUUCAUGAUCAACUAUCUGUUUCUCCAAUUCAUUUGAGUUAUGGAGAGGAAUAAUAUCAUCACUGUUGAUAACAGUCAUCUCAACUUCCUCAUCUUCUUGUAUGACCAAGACCACCUGUAGUUGAUUAGGGCUGCUGUGGAGAGCACGCUAAUCAGUGACCUCAGACAUAUUUAUAGUGUGUAGAAGUUGUUGAUGCUCUGACAGAAUGACGGCUUCAAUUUCUAUCAUUACUGGAUUGUGUCGGUCUACAAAUUCAACCAAAACAUGCCUUAUUUGUUCAUUCCAAGCAGCUGGGAAAUCCAGGCCCAUAUUAUUUUUACGUGGAUGUGAUCAGUUAUGUAGCAUUGUGUAGGUGCAGAUGCAGAAUUACUCUUCUAUCAGAUUACCCUGGCUAAUUUCCAGGCUGAGUGAAGUUAGAUCAGAUUUAUGUGUGUUUUACUAACUGGGAAUCCCUAAAAUCUUAGCUAGUAACUGUGGACACCUACAAUAUUAUGCGUUACGUGAGAUUCAACUUCCAAAUAGGAUUCGACCUCUAUAUUCAGUUAUUUAACAUGUACAGCAAUUGCCAUUUGGUAUUUCUCUUCAGUUCUGAUUCCAUGUAAUAGUAGAUUACAACUGUCAUUGAUGAACCAGUUCUUGCUUCGCAGUGGGUUCAUGUGAACCCAGUAGCUUUUGCUCAGACCUGUAUAUUUAUUAAGCAAUCCACUAUAUAUAUUUGACCAUGAACACAUUUAUUAUUGUAUACUAACUUGAGGUAUAUGUAUGAACCCGUAGAACCUCAAAUCCUGGAUCACUCUGCUUGCUCGGAGGAGAA
RNAcentral lists this long non-coding RNA (4350 nucleotides) under Solanum tuberosum (potato). RNAcentral describes it as "long non-coding RNA (STUB_LNC004193)". The stretch from base 2730 to 2921 matches the Rfam family "Bacterial large subunit ribosomal RNA", at positions 2103 to 2284 of the family's 2925-position model. The record is from RNAcentral. Lineage: Eukaryota; Viridiplantae; Streptophyta; Magnoliopsida; Solanales; Solanaceae.